ACUGGCUCAGGAUGAACGCUGGCGGCGUGCUUAACACAUGCAAGUCGAACGAAGCACUGAAGAAUAGAGAUUCGUCAAAGUCUCUUGACUGAGUGGCGAACGGGUGAGUAAUGCGUGAGCAACCUGCCCUUCAGAGGGGGACAACAGUUGGAAACGACUGCUAAUACCGCAUGACGUGUUCGGGAGGCAUCUCUUGGAUACCAAAGGAGAAAUCCGCUGAAGGAUGGGCUCACGUCUGAUUAGCUAGUUGGCGGGGCAACGGCCCACCAAGGCGACGAUCAGUAGCCGGACUGAGAGGUUGAACGGCCACAUUGGGACUGAGAUACGGCCCAGACUCCUACGGGAGGCAGCAGUGGGGAAUAUUGGGCAAUGGGCGAAAAAGCCUGACCCAGCAACGCCGCGUGAAGGAAGAAGGCCUUCGGGUUGUAAACUUCUUUUAACAGGGACGAAGAAGUGACGGUACCUGUUGAAUAAGCCACGGCUAACUACGUGCCAGCCGCUGC
This 503-nucleotide ribosomal RNA is filed under the name uncultured bacterium. RNAcentral describes it as "bacterial SSU rRNA". It matches the Rfam family "Bacterial small subunit ribosomal RNA", at positions 18 to 518 of the family's 1533-position model. The record is from RNAcentral.